Molecule: ribosomal RNA, 249 nt
Filed under: uncultured bacterium 11TS
Lineage: Bacteria; Pseudomonadati; Pseudomonadota; Alphaproteobacteria
Description: partial 16S ribosomal RNA
Source: RNAcentral
CACCUUAGUCGCUGACCUACCGUGGUUAGAUGCCUCCUUGCGGUUAGCGCACUACCUUCGGGUAAAACCAACUCCCAUGGUGUGACGGGCGGUGUGUACAAGGCCCGGGAACGUAUUCACCGCGGCAUGCUGAUCCGCGAUUACUAGCGAUUCCAACUUCAUGCACUCGAGUUGCAGAGUGCAAUCCGAACUGAGAUGGCUUUUGGAGAUUAGCUCACACUCGCGUGCUCGCUGCCCACUGUCACCAAA